UAACAUCUUCAGGGCAGGGUGCAAUUCCCUACCGGUGGUACAGCCCACGAGCCGAGCGAAAGCAAUGCAUGAUUUGGUGAAAUUCCAAAGCCGACAGUAUAGUCUGGAUGAGAGAAGAUAAGA
RNAcentral lists this non-coding RNA (123 nucleotides) under Candidatus Epulonipiscium sp. RNAcentral's name for it is "Epulopiscium sp. FMN sequence". It matches the Rfam family "FMN riboswitch aptamer (RFN element)". Rfam says of the family: The RFN element is a highly conserved domain that is found frequently in the 5'-untranslated regions of prokaryotic mRNAs that encode for flavin mononucleotide (FMN) biosynthesis and transport proteins. This element is a metabolite-dependent riboswitch that directly binds FMN in the absence of proteins. Lineage: Bacteria; Bacillati; Bacillota; Clostridia; Lachnospirales; Lachnospiraceae. The record is from RNAcentral.